AUUUUCUUGAUUGUAUUCACUAUAUUGGCUUUAAUAGGAGGAGAAAUUGAAAAUUCGGCAAGGACUCCAUUUUAUGCAACUUCAUUCUACAUCAGAAGCCCGCUGAAUGUUCUGGAAAAAAUGAAGUUAUUGUGUUUGAUGAAGAAAUUAGGAGGCUCUCCUAUUACAGUUACUUGUAUGGGUUUCUUUGCUGUUAACAAAAUUUUCAUCUGCAGGGCUUACAAGGCUCUCUUCUCUACCUUCACCACAAUGCUAGAAAUCCAGAAUUCUGAUGAGGGGAUUUCUGGAUUUUUCUGUCUUAAUGACACAACGAACAUAUGGAAAGAGUUCAUUUAAAUGAUGAAUACAUAAAAUAAAUGCUGAUGAAUUAUAAUUAUUAAUCAAUAUAUUUUCAUAUAUAUUGUAUAUGUGAUAUUUCGACAGAGUGAGCA
Molecule: long non-coding RNA, 431 nt
Filed under: Androctonus crassicauda
Lineage: Eukaryota; Metazoa; Arthropoda; Arachnida; Scorpiones; Buthidae
Source: RNAcentral